CCUACGGGUGGCAGCAGUGAGGAAUAUUGGUCAAUGGCCGCAGGGCUGAACCAGCCAAGUCGCGUGAGGGAUGACGGUCCUAUGGAUUGUAAACCUCUUUUGUCAGGGAGCAAAUGGCGCCACGUGUGGCGUUUUGCGCGUCCCUGAAGAAAAAGCAUCGGCAAACUCCGUGUCAGCAGCCGCGGUAAUACGGAGGAUGCGAGCGUUAUCCGGAUUUAUUGGGGUUAAGGGGUGCGCAGUCGGAAUGUCAAGUCAGCGGUAAAAUUUCGGGGCUCAACCCCGUCGUGCCGUUGAAACUGGGGUUCUUGAGUGAGCGAGAAGUAGGCGGAAUGCGUGGUGUAGCGGUGAAAUGCAUAGAUAUCACGAAGAACUCCGAUUGCGAAGGCAGCAUACCGGGGCUCAACUGACGCUCAUGCACGAAAGCGUGGGUAUCGAACAGGAUUAGAUACCCGUGUAGUC
This 459-nucleotide ribosomal RNA is filed under the name uncultured bacterium. RNAcentral's name for it is "partial 16S ribosomal RNA". It matches the Rfam family "Bacterial small subunit ribosomal RNA", at positions 338 to 795 of the family's 1533-position model. The record is from RNAcentral.